UACGUAGGGGGCAAGCGUUUGUCCGGAAUCAUUGGGCGUAAAGAGCGUGUAGGCGGCCAGAAAAGUCCGCUGUGAAAACUCGAGGCUCAACUUCGAGCUGUCGGUGGAAACUUUCUGGCUAGAGUCCGGAAGAGGAGAAUGGAAUUCCUGGUGUAGCGGUGAAAUGCGCAGAUAUCAGGAAGAACACCCGUGGCGAAGGCGGUUCUCUGGGACGGUACUGACGCUGAGACGCGAAAGCGUGGGGAGCGAACAGG
RNAcentral lists this ribosomal RNA (254 nucleotides) under uncultured bacterium. RNAcentral describes it as "partial 16S ribosomal RNA". It matches the Rfam family "Bacterial small subunit ribosomal RNA", at positions 524 to 776 of the family's 1533-position model. The record is from RNAcentral.